RNAcentral lists this transfer RNA (75 nucleotides) under Pteropus alecto (black flying fox). It matches the Rfam family "tRNA". From Rfam's summary of the family: Transfer RNA (tRNA) molecules are approximately 80 nucleotides in length. Their secondary structure includes four short double-helical elements and three loops (D, anti-codon, and T loops). Further hydrogen bonds mediate the characteristic L-shaped molecular structure. tRNAs have two regions of fundamental functional importance: the anti-codon, which is responsible for specific mRNA codon recognition, and the 3' end, to which the tRNAs corresponding amino acid is attached (by aminoacyl-tRNA synthetases). tRNAs cope with the degeneracy of the genetic code in two manners: having more than one tRNA (with a specific anti-codon) for a particular amino acid; and 'wobble' base-pairing, i.e. permitting non-standard base-pairing at the 3rd anti-codon position. The record is from Rfam by way of RNAcentral. Lineage: Eukaryota; Metazoa; Chordata; Mammalia; Chiroptera; Pteropodidae.
GGUUCCAUAGUGUAGCGGUUAUAGCAUGUCUGCUUUACACGCAUAAGGUCCUGGGUUUGCGCCCCAGUGAAGCCA